Molecule: ribosomal RNA, 301 nt
Filed under: uncultured bacterium
Lineage: Bacteria
Description: partial 16S ribosomal RNA
Rfam family: Bacterial small subunit ribosomal RNA
Source: RNAcentral
CAGUCGCCGCGGGAAUACGUAGGGUCCGAGCGUUGUCCGGAAUUACUGGGCGUAAAGCGCGCGUAGGUGGUUCGCCAAGUUGGAUGUGAAAUCCCCGGGCUCAACCUGGGAACUGCAUCCAAAACUGGCGAGCUAGAGUAUGGUAGAGGGUGGUGGAAUUUCCUGUGUAGCGGUGAAAUGCGUAGAGAUCUGGAGGAAUACCGAUGGCGAAGGCAGCCAUCUGGCCUAAUACUGACGCUGAGGUACGAAAGCAUGGGGAGCAAACAGGAUUAGAUACCCCCGUAGUCCCUGUCUCUUAUAC